Molecule: ribosomal RNA, 723 nt
Filed under: Triticum aestivum (bread wheat)
Lineage: Eukaryota; Viridiplantae; Streptophyta; Magnoliopsida; Poales; Poaceae
Description: partial small subunit ribosomal RNA
Source: RNAcentral
CCGGGUGCGAAGCAAUGGUUAUUCACUUUGUUUGAUAAUCUGCCACAUGCCCGGUUAAUAAACUGUGUUGUUACUUUAUGGGCAAUUUGGACAGCACGUCGGAAGGCUAUCCAUGAAGCAAUCUUUCAGAGCCCACAUGCCAUUUUCUCUUUUGUUAAGAGCUUCAUAUCGGAGCUUGAAUUUUUGAGGGCGCCUGUGUCAUCCGGCGACAAGCCUCGGGCAGCAACUAUCACAAGAACGGGAGGCAGGGGUGGAUGGAACGCGCCAGCCGAAGGCAUCGCAAAGAUCCAUGUGGACGGAGGACUCGCAAGGAAUGGGAGACAGGGGGCGGCAGCCUCGAUUUGUCGGGAUCAUACUGGCAAAUACCUUGGUUCGUCGGCUAUGGUCUUCGACCUAAUUACGGACCCUCCUACGCUGGAAGCGCUUGCUUGUAGAGAAGCUCUGUCUCUUGCACUCGAUUUAUCUUUGGAUCGAGUUAUUAUUGCAUGUGACUAUAAAACACUGGUGGAUGAGAUAGAGAAAUGUUCGGAUGGGAAAUAUGGUAUGAUCAUUAAGGAGAUUGUUGCAAGGGCAAGGGAACUUACUAGCUGCAAGUUUGUUUUUGAAGGUCGGGCAAUGAAUGUUGAUGCCCAUAAUUUAGUGAAGUUCUCUACAUCCUUAGAAGAAGGACAUCAUGUGUGGCUGGGGACACCCCACGACCCUUUUGUAAUUCAUGUAAACCUG